GUCGCUCACCUUGGUCUAUGUGACUAUUAAACAAAGGAAGCAGAUGGAUUCAUGACAAAAUUGUAUUUUGGUGAUGGUGAUGUGUUUGUACAUCUUACUUUACUGAACAUCCUUGCUGCUUACAAUUAUCUCUAUCUAUAAUGAACUUGGCCCAGUAGUUUCAGUGGAAAAUGUUAGUAAAAAUUUACAAAUUUUAUAAAAAUUGUUGAAAAUUGAAUAUAAAGGACAAUAACUCCUUAGGGGGUCAAUUGACCAUUUCGGUCAUGUUGACUUAUUUGUAAAUCUUACUUUGCUCUAUCUAUAAUAAUAUUCAAGACAAUAACCAAAAACAGCAAAAUUUCCUUAAAAUUACCAAUUCAACGGCAGGAACCCAACAACGGGUUGUCCGAUUUAUCUGAAAAUUUCGAGCAGAUAGAUCUUGACCUGAUAAACAAUUUAACCCCAUGUCAGAUUUGCUCUAAACGCUUUGGUUUUUGAGUUAUAAGCCAAAAACUGCAUUUUACCCCUAUGUUCUAUUUUUAGCCAUGGCGGCCAUCUUGGUUAAAUGGCCGGGUCAUCAGACACAUUUUUAAACUAGAUAUCACAAAGAUGAUUGUGGAUAAGUUUGGAUUAAUUUGGCCCAGUAGUUUCAGAGGAGAAGAUUUUUGUAAAAGAUUACUAAAAUUUACGAAAAAUGGUUAAAAAUUGACUAUAAAGGGCAAUAACUCCUAAAGGGGUCAACUGACCAUUUCGGUCAUGUUGACUUAUUUGUAAAUCUUACUUUGCUGAACAUAAUGGCUGUUUACAGUUUAUCUCUAUCUAUAAUAAUAUACAAGAUAAUAACCAAAAACAGCAAAAUUUCCUUAAAAUUACCAAUUCAGGGGCAGCAACCCAACAACAGGUUGUCAGAUUCAUCUGAAAAUUUCAGGGUAGAUAGAUCUUGACCUGAUAAACAAUUUUACCAAUAUCAGAUUUGCUCUAAAUGCUUUGGUUUUUGAGUUAUAAGCCAAAAACUGCAUUUUAUCCCUAUGUUCUAUUUUUAGCCGUGGCGGCCAUCUUGGUUGGUUAACCAGGUCACCGGACACAUUUUUAAAAC
RNAcentral lists this long non-coding RNA (1075 nucleotides) under Mytilus galloprovincialis (Mediterranean mussel). The record is from RNAcentral. Lineage: Eukaryota; Metazoa; Mollusca; Bivalvia; Mytilida; Mytilidae.